UAUCCGUGAUGGUUCGGUGCUGCUCAAC
RNAcentral lists this non-coding RNA (28 nucleotides) under Mus musculus (house mouse). Lineage: Eukaryota; Metazoa; Chordata; Mammalia; Rodentia; Muridae. The record is from RNAcentral.